UNCCUGGCAAGUUAGGAUACAGCAGGAAC
This 29-nucleotide non-coding RNA is filed under the name Homo sapiens (human). Lineage: Eukaryota; Metazoa; Chordata; Mammalia; Primates; Hominidae. The record is from RNAcentral.